This 469-nucleotide long non-coding RNA is filed under the name Hordeum vulgare. RNAcentral describes it as "long non-coding RNA (HVUL_LNC019332)". Lineage: Eukaryota; Viridiplantae; Streptophyta; Magnoliopsida; Poales; Poaceae. The record is from RNAcentral.
CGGAAGAUCGGCUUCGGCCUUUCGAUAAGAUUGCGAGAAAUCGAUUUGAUUUCAGCUGCUAGAGGGAGGGAGCCUUUGAACAUACACUGUGCGCUUAGUGCUCUGUAUCAAUGGUUGGUUAGGCUAAGCCAGUCCAGGAAGGUUAAGAUGUCACCCUUUCUUGCAAUGCAGUCCUCUCCCCUUCCUUCUUCUUUGCUUGGCCCCAUUUACCACCACUGGGGCUCCCUUUGCAGCUUCCCCCUUAGGGCAAUGUGGCCCUCUACUGCUAGCUAGCAAGGACGCUAACGCUAGUGCCAAUCAAUCACUCUAUUCAUAAUAAAACUUACUUUUUGUCAGUUGCUUUACUUUGUUUCAUUUUGUUUGAAACAAGUUCAGAGCUCCUCCUCGUUUCAUUUCACACGGACAGGUGAGAGAGUAACCGACCUUGUCCUCGUUAUGUCUUGCUUCUAGAUGAACUGGUUGGUGUAGG